Molecule: ribosomal RNA, 468 nt
Filed under: uncultured bacterium
Lineage: Bacteria
Description: partial 16S ribosomal RNA
Rfam family: Bacterial small subunit ribosomal RNA
Source: RNAcentral
GACGAACGCUGGCGGCGUGCUUAACACAUGCAAGUCGAACGGAAAGGCCCUGCUUUUGUGGGGUGCUCGAGUGGCGAACGGGUGAGUAACACGUGAGUAACCUGCCCUUGACUUUGGGAUAACUUCAGGAAACUGGGGCUAAUACCGGAUAGGAGCUCCUGCUGCAUGGUGGGGGUUGGAAAGUUUCGGCGGUUGGGGAUGGACUCGCGGGUUAUCAGCUUGUUGGUGGGGUAGUGGCUUACCAAGGCUUUGACGGGUAGCCGGCCUGAGAGGGUGACCGGCCACAUUGGGACUGAGAUACGGCCCAGACUCCUAAGGGAGGCAGCAGUGGGGAAUAUUGCACAAUGGGCGGAAGCCUGAUGCAGCAACGCCGCGUGCGGGAUGACGGCCUUCGGGUUGUAAACCGCUUUCGCCUGUGACGAAGCGUGAGUGACGGUAAUGGGUAAAGAAGCACCGGCUAACUACGUG